RNAcentral lists this ribosomal RNA (414 nucleotides) under uncultured bacterium. RNAcentral describes it as "bacterial SSU rRNA". It matches the Rfam family "Bacterial small subunit ribosomal RNA", at positions 355 to 775 of the family's 1533-position model. The record is from RNAcentral.
UCGAGGAUCUUCGGCAAUGGGCGCAAGCCUGACCGAGCGACGCCGCGUGUGCGAUGAAGGCCUUCGGGUUGUAAAGCACUGUCGAGGGGGAGGAAAGCCCGCAAGGGCCUGACCUAUCCCUGGAGGAAGCACGGGCUAAGUUCGUGCCAGCAGCCGCGGUAAGACGAACCGUGCGAACGUUGUUCGGAAUCACUGGGCUUAAAGGGCGCGUAGGCGGCUCGGCAAGUCGGGGGUGAAAUCUUUCGGCCCAACCGGAAAAGUGCCUCUGAUACUGCCGAGCUCGAGGGAGGUAGGGGCGGACGGAACUUCCGGUGGAGCGGUGAAAUGCGUUGAUAUCGGAAGGAACGCCGGUGGCGAAAGCGGUCCGCUGGCCCUCUACUGACGCUGAGGCGCGAAAGCCAGGGGAGCAAACGG